This is a long non-coding RNA of Cynoglossus semilaevis (tongue sole), 659 nucleotides long. RefSeq lists it as uncharacterized. Lineage: Eukaryota; Metazoa; Chordata; Actinopteri; Pleuronectiformes; Cynoglossidae. The transcript is spliced from 3 exons. The record is from RefSeq and is a predicted model, not a curated record.
GUGGAGAACAGAGGGAACCAGCGCCGGAGGCUGUUUCGUGAGCGGCUGCUGCGUUUCCAUGUGGAUGUCUGACAGUAAACAUGCGUCCUUGUGUUCAAGGGCAAACCAGAGUGUUGACUUAGUGGCUGCAGAACAGAAGGACAACCAUCAGACGGGGACAUGGAUGUCGGGGACAGCUAUGCAGCCGUGACAAAGCUGCUCCUAACUGAGUGCAGAGCUCUGAACGAUUACCAGCGCAAACAGAGGACCAGACACUUCACUACAUGGGUGGCAGACAGUAAAACACAGAAGAAAGAAUACUUCUCCGAGUACUUAAAACAUCAUUUCCUGCUUUGUCUAUUUCCUCAACACAGACCACAACAACAGAGGAUAAAAACUGAAUUUUCUUUUGGUCUCAGGUUUUUAUUAAAAUCCUGCUGGAGGUCACAGACUCACAGAGGGAGUUUUUCAGUAUACUUUUCAUCCUUGUACAGAAACAGCUGAAUGUGUACUGCAUUAAAGGAUCUCACUACAUCACAGGAAUCUACCUCGACCGAGUUUAUAUUUCAUCGACCCUGGGGGAAAAAAAAGAACACGUCUAGGGUCGUCUUUUGGAAACGCCAUUAAAAACCUCUUGUUAGGCUGGAGGUCAGAAAAAUAAAUGUUUUUUUUUUAUUACA